UACGGGGGGGGUAAGCGUUGUUCGGAAUUACUGGGCGUAAAGGGCUCGUAGGCGGCCAACUAAGUCGGACGUGAAAUCCCUCAGCUUAACUGGGGAACUGCGUCCGAUACUGGAUGGCUUGGAUUUGGGAGAGGGAUGCGGAAUUCCAGGUGUAGCGGUGAAAUGCGUAGAUAUCUGGAGGAAUACCGGUGGCGAAGGCGGCAUCCUGGACCGGCAUGACGCCUGAGUGAGCGAAAGC
RNAcentral lists this ribosomal RNA (238 nucleotides) under uncultured bacterium. RNAcentral's name for it is "partial 16S ribosomal RNA". It matches the Rfam family "Bacterial small subunit ribosomal RNA", at positions 524 to 760 of the family's 1533-position model. The record is from RNAcentral.